Molecule: ribosomal RNA, 413 nt
Filed under: Archibracon sp.
Lineage: Eukaryota; Metazoa; Arthropoda; Insecta; Hymenoptera; Braconidae
Description: partial 16S ribosomal RNA
Source: RNAcentral
GUCUUUAAGACCUUAAUUUAAAGUCAAAUNUGCCCAAUGAAUUUAUUUAAAUGGCUGCAGGACUCAUCACUGUACAAAGGUAGCAUAAUAAUUUGUUUUUUAAUUAAAAACUAGAAUGAAAGAUUUAAUGAAAUAUAAACUUUUUCAAUUAAAUUUAUAUUAAAUUUUUUAUUUAAGUAAAAAAACUUAAAUAAAUUUUAAAGACGACAAGACCCUAUAGAAUUUUAUUUAUUUAAUUUUUAUUUAUCUAAUUAAAUAAAUUUUAUUGGGGUAAUAAAAAAAUUAAUUAAAUUUUUUUUUUAACAAACAUUUUUAAUGAAUUUCAAAUCUUAAUUUUUAAAUUAAAAAAAUUAAUUACCUUAGGGAUAACAGCAUAAUUUUUUUUAAAAGAUCUUAUUAAUAAAAAANAUUAU